CUCCCAUCUCAACAAAACUCUGUGUUUCCUCAUCAGCUGCGCAGUCUGUCAAACUUCUGUCAGGAGUAAACACUUCACUUUAACACAGAGAAGAUGAGAAAAAAAGAGACUGAAACUGAAAGACAAGAUGAGCUUGAUAGAAACAGAUGAUUUGAUUGAAAUGAAGAAGGAGAAGAAGAUGUAAUCAGCCGCUCCUGUCGUCCCUUAUCUUCAGUAGUCACAACAAAUUGCUGCUUCUUCUGUAUAUUUGUAGUGCUGAUAAACAAAGUGUGUCCGCAGGUUACAGUGGAGGCUGUUGUUGGUGGUUCUGUUGUCCUGCCGUGUUCGUCAGCUAAACGUGAUCUUAAACUUGAAGACAUUAAUGUGCACUGGAGACAGAAUGACGGAAUACAUGUUUAUGACAUUAUUAAAGGCAAAGAUUUAAUGGCAGACCAGGACCCACAAUGCAAGAACAGAAUCAAAACUUUCCCUGAGGAGUAUGUGAGAAGAAAUUUCUCCAUCAAACUCACCGGUCUCACUCACGCUGAUGCAGGAAAAUACAUCUGUCAUAUCACACCAUCAAAUGAACGGAAGACUGUACUGCUGAAUAUCAAUGAACCAACUACAGAAAAAGGAAAGAAAACUACUGAUCAACAAAACCAAGAGGAAAUCAGACCAGACAGUUUUAGGAAUUCUUGGCUUUUGAUCCUGGUUGGCACUCUGUUACCUACACUGUUUAUACUUUUCAUUGUAAUCUUUAGACAAAAGAUCUCAUGCUGCCUUAUGUCAGGUGAACACUGCAUGCGUUCAGACGCUCAUGAGGUUAACUGCUGAUGAUCAUGAUGAAGUGGAUAAAGAAGGUAAAUGACACAGAUGUGCAGCUUUGCGUACUGAGUUGUGCUGUGCUGCUGAGCAGUGAGUGUGUUACUGCAUUUUCCUCAUGUGCACACUUCAUGUAUGCUUUCUGACAAAUUCAAGCAGAUUCCCCAAAUUUUUCAGCAUUUUUAAAAAUUGUUGUAAGCUUGCAAGAUGCUCAUCACUAAAUCACUAUGGAGAGCUUGUAGUCAUAUUUUACAGCAGCUGGUAUGAUUUUUGUUAGGAAACUGCAUACUUUCAUUAUUUUUCCCUGUGUGUGUCAUGUCUGUAAAUGAUGAAUGAUAAAUGAAAAAUCAGGCUAUACCACUAUAUGCAGCUGACAAUGUCAUAGUAGCUUGAAGUCUCAACAAAUUAAUGUUUUUAUUUUGUUUGUUUGUUUUGUUUUUUGUUGUUGUUGUUGGUUUUAUUUAUUUAUUUAUUUAUUGUGUAGCAAUUUGUGUAGCAUUACAUUUGCUGCUCAUUGACAUGAUUCACAAAUGUUUAUGUUGGUAACAUUGCCAGUCUAUGCUGUGUUGAUCUGCUUGCCUUUAAAUAGCCUGUUAAAUGGAUAGUUUACUCAAAAAGUUAAAUUUUGUCAUUAAUUACUCACCCUCAUGUCGUUCCAAACCUGUAAAACCUUUGUUCAUAUUUGGAACAUAAAUUAAGAUAUUAUUGAUGAAAUCCGAGAGCUUUCUGACCCUCUGUAGACAGCAAGGGUCCUACCAUGGUCAAGGACCAGAAAGGUACCAAGAACAUUAACAAAAUAGUCAAUCUGACAUCAUGGUUCAACCGUAAUUGUAUGAAGUAAGGCUGUGCAAAUAUUCAGAUGCAAUUAUCAUGUGCAUCUUGUCAGUGAUGCCAGUUCUGUGAUUAGGUGUCAGCUGUCAGAGCGACGUUUGAGCCGUAGUUCACUGACAAGCUACGCAAUAUCACGUUCAUUAUCACCUCUGAUAAUGAACGUGAUAUUGCGUAGCUUGUCAGUGAACUACAGCCCUAGUAUGAAGCUAAGAGAAUACUUUUUGUAAAGUAUAAAUAAAAAAGUAAAGAUAAAUAAAAAAUAACUUUAUUUAACAAUUCCUCUCCUCUGUGUCACCCUAACUUCUUAAAAGUUACAUAUUUAUGCUUUAAUAACUAUUUUUAUAUUUUGCACUGUUUGAUUUAUUUUUCUGACUUUCAUGUAAAGUGUUUUUAAAUACCAUUGUAUAUGUAUUACUGUACUCACACCUUUCUGGUGCAGAAGAUAAUGUUUUGUACUGUUAUAUUCUUAAUGUAUAACAGAAUGAGACCUUGAAACAUGGAAAUGAGAAUAUUUUUGGCUGAAGAUAAAGGAAAAUGAGUCUGUCAAUAUGUAUGUCAAUUCUGUACUAAAGUGUUUUAUUUUA
Molecule: long non-coding RNA, 2216 nt
Organism: Labeo rohita (rohu)
Lineage: Eukaryota; Metazoa; Chordata; Actinopteri; Cypriniformes; Cyprinidae
Exons: 4
Source: RefSeq, a predicted model, not a curated record